Molecule: long non-coding RNA, 205 nt
Filed under: Erythranthe guttata (spotted monkey flower)
Lineage: Eukaryota; Viridiplantae; Streptophyta; Magnoliopsida; Lamiales; Phrymaceae
Description: long non-coding RNA (EGUT_LNC000776)
Source: RNAcentral
AUUAUUGUUGGGUGCUAAAUACCAACACGCAAGUGUACGUAUCGCAAACAAGUAGUAAAGUAGACUCGUGAGAGUCGGAUGUCGAUCCCACAGGGAAUACGCAAAUUAUUUAAUCCUAAGUACCAAAUCCUAACAAUUGUGAUUUUUAUCCAGCCUACGCAGGGUUGUCAAAUUAAUUAACUAAAUAAAUUAAACUAAUUAAGAA